UACGGAGGGGGCUAGCGUUGUUCGGAAUUACUGGGCGUAAAGCGCGCGUAGGCGGAUUGUUAAGUCAGGGGUGAAAUCCCGAGGCUCAACCUCGGAACUGCCUUUGAUACUGGCGAUCUCGAGUCCGGGAGAGGUGAGUGGAAUUCCUGGUGAAGAGGUGAAAUUCGUAGAUAUUAGGAAGAACACCAGUGGCGAAGGCGGCUCACUGGCCCGGUACUGACGCUGAGGCGCGAAAGCGUGGGGAGCAAACAGG
This 253-nucleotide unclassified non-coding RNA is filed under the name uncultured Alphaproteobacteria bacterium. Its description in RNAcentral is "contains 16S-23S intergenic spacer region". It matches the Rfam family "Bacterial small subunit ribosomal RNA", at positions 524 to 776 of the family's 1533-position model. The record is from RNAcentral. Lineage: Bacteria; Pseudomonadati; Pseudomonadota; Alphaproteobacteria.